Molecule: RNA transcript, 1952 nt
Organism: Myotis brandtii (Brandt's bat)
Lineage: Eukaryota; Metazoa; Chordata; Mammalia; Chiroptera; Vespertilionidae
Gene name: cytoskeleton-associated protein 2 pseudogene
Exons: 2
Source: RefSeq, a predicted model, not a curated record
UUUAUUUGGUGACAGUGUAUUCUUUUUUCCAGAAGACCCCAGCGGUUCCAGGCGACCUGCAGCUUCCCCCAAGUCACAGGGGCCCAGUUCGCCUUCAGAGAGCAAAGAAAAUAAAAACUCAAGGAGCAUCUGUUUAAAAGAAAAACUCUUUUUGCAUACAAAUAGGAAAAUCAGAAAUUCUCCAGUAGAAACGAGGGAAUGAUGACAUCUGAGGGUCUGGUCCAAGAAGAGACAAAAGUUCUGAAACUUAAGACAAAAAUGGCUGAUAAAGAAAAUGUCCAUAGACCUACAAGGAGCAAAAAUAAUGUAACAAUGGGAAAAAAUUGUAUUCCGUUAAAACCUUCUAAUGAAUUAACCAAUUCAACUAUAGCCACUGAUAUAUAUAACUUGGAGAAUAAUCAAACUCUGCAGUUGUUACCAAUUACAAAUGAUCGCCAAGGUCAACGUAUGACAUUAAGCCAAGCGUUUCACAUUAAAAACAAUAAUAAAAAGAAACAAGUGACUACAGAAAAACCAAAGCAAGAUGCUAACGUGCUCAAGAAACCUGUGCUUGGAUCUUAUCGUGGCCAAAUUGUUCAAUCUAAGGUUAAUUCGUUUAGAAAACCUGUACAAGUCAAAGAUGAGCAUUCUGCAAUAACAAAGAAACUUUCAACUCCUAUCUCUAAGGCCACAAAACCUCAGCCUAUAACCAGGCCUGCUUCAUCUUCUAAUAUCAAACAGAUAGAAAAGUCAAAAACCAUUGACCAGUGCAGGCAUACUAUAGCAAAAGCAACUAUCAAUAGAAGGGCUCAGCCCAAAGAAACCGUAGAAGAAAGAAAAGCUCGUCUGAGUGAGUGGAGAGCUAGCAAAGGAAAAAUGUUGAAAAGGCCUCCUAGCUCAGUAAUAACCCAGCCUAAACCUGAAGGACAGAAUGAAAAACCAGUUGGGUCAUUUUGGACUACCCUGGCAGAAGAAGAUGAACAAAGAUUACUUACUGAAAAAGUAAACAAGACAUUUUCUGAAUGCCUAAACCUGAUUAAUGAGGGAUGCCCCAAAGAAGAAGUAUUAAACAUACUGAGUGACCUGAUUAAAAAUAUUCCAGAUGCCAAAAAACUUGUUAAGUAUUGGAUAUGCCUUGCACGUCUUGAACCACUCACAAGUUCUAUCGAAAAUAUUAUCUCAAUCUUUGAGAAGGCCAUCCUGGCAGGAGCUCAGCCUAUUGAAGAAAUGCGACAUGUAAUUGCAGAUAUUCUAACAAUGAGGAGUCAAGAAAAAGUUAAAUUUGGAGAAAAUCCUGAGGAGGCUUGUGCAACCAAGGAAAAAAUCCAAGAAGUCAACAUUGAAGAUAUUGGUGUUAAUCUAGAGUCAGGAAAACCUGAAAUGGAAAAUAAACAUCAUAGAAAUGUGGUAUUUCAAGAUUGUAAAAAAGAGCAAGUACACAAAACAAAAGAUCCAACCAAUGAUGUUAAAACCCCCAACAAAGAAACUAGGGGGGAUUGCUUAAUUAAAUAUAUUGUGUCUACUACACCAUACUUGCAAAGUGUAAAAAAGAAAAUGCAGUUUGACGAAAUAAAUUCUACAUCUAAAAAGCUCAAGUUUCUAACACCAGUUAGACGUUCUCAGAGACUUCAAAACAAGACUUCUAAAUUGCCUGAUAUGUUAAAAAACCAUUAUCCUUGUGUGUCUUCAUUGGAACAAUUAACAGAGUUGGAGGAUAAAACUGAUGCUUUUAUAUGCCGCCCUAAUGCAGCACUUGGCCGGAUGUAUUUGGAGACUGAAACAAUAGAAGACAAAUGAAGCUAUGAUAAGAACUAAGGAUUUUAUUAUUCCUGGGGUGUUUGUUGUGGGUUCAUAUGUAUUAGUUCAGGAGUUGGCCAUGUUACCUAAGUAUUCAUGGCAGUAAACUCCUUUAUAAUAUUCACAUCUAUGUUCUUUUAAUAUAAUUAAUAAAUGUCAUUCUAUUUUCAAUGGUA